UACACUCCUGCGGGAGGCAGCAGUGGGGAAUUUUGGACAAUGGGCGAAAGCCUGAUCCAGCAAUGCCGCGUGAGUGAAGAAGGCCUUCGGGUUGUAAAGCUCUUUUGUCAGGGAAGAAACGGUGAAAGCUAAUAUCUUUUGCUAAUGACGGUACCUGAAGAAUAAGCACCGGCUAACUACGUGCCAGCAGCCGCGGUAAUACGUAGGGUGCAAGCGUUAAUCGGAAUUACUGGGCGUAAAGCGUGCGCAGGCGGUUUUGUAAGUCUGAUGUGAAAUCCCCGGGCUCAACCUGGGAAUUGCAUUGGAGACUGCAAGGCUAGAAUCUGGCAGAGGGGGGUAGAAUUCCACGUGUAGCAGUGAAAUGCGUAGAUAUGUGGAGGAACACCGAUGGCGAAGGCAGCCCCCUGGGUCAAGAUUGACGCUCAUGCACGAAAGCGUGGGGAGCAAACAGGAUUAGAAACCCCUGUAGUCCCAUGA
Molecule: ribosomal RNA, 477 nt
Filed under: uncultured organism
Description: partial 16S ribosomal RNA
Rfam family: Bacterial small subunit ribosomal RNA
Source: RNAcentral